UGCAAGUCGAACGGACCAUUAAUUUAUUAGUGGUUAGUGGCGAAAGGGUUAGUAACGGGUAGGUAACGUACCCCGUGCUUUGGGAUAGCGUCAGUAGCUUCGGCUACUUUCCGAAAGGGGCGGUAAUACCAAAUAAUAUCAUUUGUCGAUAGGCGAAUGAUCAAAGACUCAUCGGCGCGGGAGCGGCCUGCCUCCUAUCAGCUUGUUGGUGAGGUAACGGCUCACCAAGGCGACGACGGGUAGCGGGACUGAGAGGUUGACCCGCAACAUCGGGACUGAGACACUGCCCGGACCUCCACGGAGGGCUGCAGUAACGAAUAUUGCGCAAUGGGCGAAAGCCUGACGCAGCGACGCCGCGUGUAGGAGGAAGUCCCUCGGGAUGUAAACUACUGUCAGGGGUAAGAAAGUGCGCUUCGGCGUAUUGAUCUAACCCAGAGGAAGUCACGGCUAACUUCGUGCCAGCAGCCGCGGUAAGACGAAGGUGGCGAGCGUUGUUCGGUAUCACUGGGCUUAAAGCGUGUGUAGGCGGAAAAGUAAGCGUCUUGUGAAAGCCCCCGGCUUAACCGGGGAAUUGCGUGACGAACUGCUUUUCUUGAGGCAAGUAGGGGUGCAUGGAACUCUUGGUGGAGCGGUGGAAUGCGUAGAUAUCAAGAGGAACGCCAGUGGAGAAAUCGGUGCACUGGGCUUGUCCUGACGCUGAGACACGAAAGCGUGGGGAGCGAACGGGAUUAGAUACCCCGGUAGUCCACGCCGUAAACGAUGCCUACUAGGUUGUGGUGGUUCUGACACCAGCACAGCCGAAGCAAAAGUGUUAAGUAGGCCGCCUGGGGAGUACGGUCGCAA
Molecule: ribosomal RNA, 843 nt
Filed under: uncultured bacterium
Lineage: Bacteria
Description: bacterial SSU rRNA
Rfam family: Bacterial small subunit ribosomal RNA
Source: RNAcentral